UCGAACCUGGCGGGAGAGACCUGUUGCCGCGAGCACGGGCGCCGAAGGGGCAAGCCUCCCCGCAACCUCUCAGGCGAAGUGGACCGUCCAGGUGAAG
Molecule: non-coding RNA, 97 nt
Filed under: Dermacoccus nishinomiyaensis
Lineage: Bacteria; Bacillati; Actinomycetota; Actinomycetes; Micrococcales; Dermacoccaceae
Description: Glycine sequence
Rfam family: Glycine riboswitch aptamer
About the family: This family represents the bacterial glycine riboswitch. Glycine riboswitches usually consist of two metabolite-binding aptamers domains with similar structures in tandem. The aptamers cooperatively bind glycine to regulate the expression of downstream genes.
Source: RNAcentral